UAGUGAACCAGUACCGUGAGGGAAAGGCGAAAAGAACCCCGGCGAGGGGAGUGAAAAAGAACCUGAAACCGUGUACGUACAAGCAGUGGGAGCCCCACCACUAAGCCAGUGGUGAACUCCACAUCCGCAUCCUUUGCUGAGGAUACGGUUAACGGAGCGAAAGCGACGUUCAACCGCAAAACAAGCAGAGGGGGCUUAGUGGUGGGGUGACUGCGUACCUUUUGUAUAAUGGGUCAGCGACUUAUAUUCUGUAGCAAGGUUAACCGAAUAGGGGAGCCGGAGGGAAACCGAGUCUUAAUUGGGCGUUAAGUUGCAGGGUAUAGACCCGAAACCCGGUGAUCUAGCCAUGGGCAGGUUGAAGGUUGGGUAACACUAACUGGAGGACCGAACCGACUAAUGUUGAAAAAUUAGCGGAUGACCUGUGGCUGGGGGUGAAAGGCCAAUCAAACCGGGAGAUAGCUGGUUCUCCCCGAAAGCUAUUUAGGUAGCGCCUCGUGAAUUCAUCUCCGGGGGUAGAGCACUGUUUCGGCUAGGGGGCCAUCCCGGCUUACCAACCCGAUGCAAACUGCGAAUACCGGAGAAUGUUAUCACGGGAGACACACGGCGGGUGCUAACGUCCGUCGUGAAGAGGGAAACAACCCAGACCGCCAGCUAAGGUCCCAAAGUCAUGGUUAAGUGGGAAACGAUGUGGGAAGGCCCAGACAGCCAGGAUGUUGGCUUAGAAGCAGCCAUCAUUUAAAGAAAGCGUAAUAGCUCACUGGUCGAGUCGGCCUGCGCGGAAGAUGUAACGGGGCUAAACCAUGCACCGAAGCUGCGGCAGCGAACGUAUCACCCAAGACAACUUUACGGAGUUGACGAUUGACGGAGCGAAGCGACGUCAAAGCGUUCAUUAAAGUCGAGUUGGCUUAGGGAUACGUUCGUUGGGUAGGGGAGCGUUCUGUAAGCCUGUGAAGGUGUGUCGUGAGGCAUGCUGGAGGUAUCAGAAGUGCGAAUGCUGACAUAAGUAACGAUAAAGCGGGUGAAAAGCCCGCUCGCCGGAAGACCAAGGGUUCCUGUCCAACGUUAAUCGGGGCAGGGUGAGUCGACCCCUAAGGCGAGGCCGAAAGGCGUAGUCGAUGGGAAACGGGUUAAUAUUCCCGUACUUGGUGUUACUGCGAAGGGGGGACGGAGAAGGCUAUGUUGGCCGGGCGACGGUUGUCCCGGUUUAAGCGUGUAGGUGUGUGUUCCAGGUAAAUCCGGUUCACUUUAACACUGAGGCGUGACGACGAGGCACUACGGUGCUGAAGCAACAAAUGCCCUGCUUCCAGGAAAAGCCUCUAAGCAUCAGGUAACACGAAAUCGUACCCCAAACCGACACAGGUGGUCAGGUAGAGAAUACCAAGGCGCUUGAGAGAACUCGGGUGAAGGAACUAGGCAAAAUGGUGCCGUAACUUCGGGAGAAGGCACGCUGACACGUAGGUGAAGUGAUUUACUCA
RNAcentral lists this ribosomal RNA (1475 nucleotides) under Salmonella enterica subsp. enterica. RNAcentral describes it as "partial 23S ribosomal RNA". It matches the Rfam family "Bacterial large subunit ribosomal RNA", at positions 488 to 1773 of the family's 2925-position model. The record is from RNAcentral. Lineage: Bacteria; Pseudomonadati; Pseudomonadota; Gammaproteobacteria; Enterobacterales; Enterobacteriaceae.